UACCUACGGGAGGCAGCAGUGGGGGAUAUUGCACAAUGGGGGGAACCCUGAUGCAGCGACGCCGCGUGGGCGAUGGAGUGCUUCGGCAUGUAAAGCCCUAUCAGCAGGGAAGAAAAUGACGGUACCUGACUAAGAAGCCCCGGCUAAAUACGUGCCAGCAGCCGCGGUAAUACGUAUGGGGCAAGCGUUAUCCGGAUUUACUGGGUGUAAAGGGAGCGUAGGUGGCAGGGCAAGUCAGAUGUGAAAACCCGGGGCUCAACUCCGGGAGUGCAUUUGAAACUGUCCAGCUAGAGUGCAGGAGAGGG
RNAcentral lists this ribosomal RNA (305 nucleotides) under uncultured bacterium. RNAcentral's name for it is "bacterial SSU rRNA". It matches the Rfam family "Bacterial small subunit ribosomal RNA", at positions 335 to 658 of the family's 1533-position model. The record is from RNAcentral.